RNAcentral lists this ribosomal RNA (73 nucleotides) under Pseudoalteromonas sp. A757. The record is from RNAcentral. Lineage: Bacteria; Pseudomonadati; Pseudomonadota; Gammaproteobacteria; Alteromonadales; Pseudoalteromonadaceae.
CCUGAUGACCAUAGCGUUUUGGAACCACCUGACCCCAUGCCGAACUCAGAAGUGAAACAAAACAGCGUCGAUG